Molecule: ribosomal RNA, 274 nt
Filed under: uncultured bacterium
Lineage: Bacteria
Description: partial 16S ribosomal RNA
Rfam family: Bacterial small subunit ribosomal RNA
Source: RNAcentral
AUACGGAGGGAGCAAGCGUUAUUCGGAAUCACUGGGCGUAAAGCGCGCGCAGGCGGCUUGAUAAGUUGGAUGUGAAAGCCUACGGCUCAACCGUAGAACUGCAUCCAAAACUGUCAAGCUAGAGUCUGGGAGGGGAAGAUGGAAUUAGUUGUGUAGGGGUAAAAUCCGUAGAGAUAACUAGGAAUACCAAAAGCGAAGGCGAUCUUCUGGAACAGUCCUGACGCUGAGGCGCGAAAGCGUGGGGAGCAAACAGGAUUAGAAACACCGGUAGUCC